AGAGUUUGAUCCUGGGUCAGAUGAACGCUGGCGGUGCCUUACACAUGAAGUCGAACUUUCAGCCGGAGCUUGCUCUGGUGGCGAGUGGCGAACGGGUGAGUAAUAUAUCGGAACGUACCCUAGAGUGGGGGAUAACGUAGCGAAAGUUACGCUAAUACCGCAUACGAUCUAAGGAUGAAAGUGGGGGAUCGCAAGACCUCAUGUCUCGAUGGAGCGGCCGAUAUCUUGAUUAGCUAGUUGUGGUAGGGUAAAAGCCUACCCAAGGCAUCUGAUCAGUAAGCUGGUCUUGAGGAGGAUCGACCAGCCACACCCCUGGAACUUGAGAACACGGUUCCCAGACUCCUUACGGGAGGCAGCAGUUGGGGAAUUUUGGACAAUGGGCCAGAAAGCCUGAUCCAGCAAUGCCCGCCUGCCAGGAAUGAAGCCUUAGGGUUGUAAAACUGCCUUUUUGUACGGAACGAAACCGGCUUCCUCCUAAUACGAGGGGCUAAUGACGUUACCGUAAGGAAUAAGCACCGGCUACCUACGUGCCAGCAGCCGCGGGUAAUACGUAGGGGUGCGAGCGUUUAAUCGGAAUUACUGGGGCGUAAAGCGUGCGCAGGCGGUUAUAUAAGACAGAUGUGAAAUCCCCGGGCUCAACCUGGGAACCUGCAUUUUGUGAACUUGUAUAGCUAGGAGUACGGGUAGAAGGGGGAAUGGAAUUCCGCCCGUGUAUGCCAGUGAAAUUGCGUAGAAUAUGCGGAGGAACACCGAUGGCGAAGGCAAUCCCCUGGCACCUGUACUGACGCUCAUGCACGAAAGCGUGGGGAGCAAACAGGAUUAGAUACCCUGGUAGUCCACGCCCUAAACGAUGUCAACUGGUUGUUGGGUCUUCACUGACUCAGUAACGAAGCUAACGCGUGAAGUUGACCGCCUGGGGAGUACGGCCGCAAGGUUAAAACUCAAAGGAAUUGACGG
Molecule: ribosomal RNA, 957 nt
Filed under: uncultured bacterium
Lineage: Bacteria
Description: bacterial SSU rRNA
Rfam family: Bacterial small subunit ribosomal RNA
Source: RNAcentral